Molecule: ribosomal RNA, 253 nt
Filed under: uncultured bacterium
Lineage: Bacteria
Description: partial 16S ribosomal RNA
Rfam family: Bacterial small subunit ribosomal RNA
Source: RNAcentral
UACGUAGGUGGCAAGCGUUGUCCGGAUUUACUGGGCGUAAAGAGCGCGCAGGCGGUCGUUCAAGUCGCGUGUGAAAGCCCCCGGCUCAACUGGGGAGGGUCACGCGAUACUGAUCGACUCGAAGGCAGGAGAGGGUAGUGGAAUUCCCGGUGUAGUGGUGAAAUGCGUAGAUAUCGGGAGGAAUACCUAUGGCGAAAGCAGGCUACUGGACCGUCACUGACUCUGAUCUGCGAAAGCUAGGGGAGCAAACAGG